This is a non-coding RNA of Aedes aegypti (yellow fever mosquito), 146 nucleotides long. Lineage: Eukaryota; Metazoa; Arthropoda; Insecta; Diptera; Culicidae. The record is from Rfam.
GAAUUCAUGAGGGAUUAUCUGGAGGAAUUCCUAGAGAAACUCCUGGUGGAAUUUCUUGAGGAAUUCCUGGUGGAAUUUCUGAAGGAAUCCCUAAAGGUGUUUCUGGAGGAAUUCCUGAAAGAGUUCCUGGAGGAAACCCUGAAGAA